CAGUCGCCGCGGGAAUACGGAGGGUGCAAGCGUUAAUCGGAAUUACUGGGCGUAAAGCGCACGCAGGCGGUCUGACAAGUCAGAUGUGAAAUCCCCGGGCUUAACCUGGGAACUGCAUUUGAGACUGUCAGGCUGGAGUCUUGUAGAGGGGGGUGGAAUUCCAGGUGUAGCGGUGAAAUGCGUAGAGAUCUGGAGGAAUACCGGUGGCGAAGGCGGCCCCCUGGACAAAGACUGACGCUCAGGUGCGAAAGCGUGGGGAGCAAACAGGAUUAGAUACCCCGGUAGUCCCUGUCUCUUAUAA
This 301-nucleotide ribosomal RNA is filed under the name uncultured bacterium. RNAcentral's name for it is "partial 16S ribosomal RNA". It matches the Rfam family "Bacterial small subunit ribosomal RNA", at positions 509 to 809 of the family's 1533-position model. The record is from RNAcentral.